AAAUCAGCCGGUGAAUUUCAUGGCCAAGUUUAGACUUGUAUCUGUUCUUAUCAGUUUAAUAUCUGAUACGUCCUCUGUUUGAGGACUGCGUAUUAAAUGGGUUUUUGCAUUUCAAAAAAAGGGCCUCAAGACACAGUGGUUAAACUGCAGUACUGCAGCCAAAAUUCU
RNAcentral lists this small nuclear RNA (168 nucleotides) under Pogona vitticeps (central bearded dragon). RNAcentral describes it as "U2 spliceosomal RNA (ENSPVIG00000020514.1)". It matches the Rfam family "U2 spliceosomal RNA". From Rfam's summary of the family: U2 is a small nuclear RNA (snRNA) component of the spliceosome (involved in pre-mRNA splicing). Complementary binding between U2 snRNA (in an area lying towards the 5' end but 3' to hairpin I) and the branchpoint sequence (BPS) of the intron results the bulging out of an unpaired adenosine, on the BPS, which initiates a nucleophilic attack at the intronic 5' splice site, thus starting the first of two transesterification reactions that mediate splicing. Lineage: Eukaryota; Metazoa; Chordata; Lepidosauria; Squamata; Agamidae. The record is from Rfam by way of RNAcentral.